RNAcentral lists this ribosomal RNA (128 nucleotides) under Escherichia coli. RNAcentral describes it as "partial 16S ribosomal RNA". It matches the Rfam family "Bacterial small subunit ribosomal RNA", at positions 1 to 121 of the family's 1533-position model. Lineage: Bacteria; Pseudomonadati; Pseudomonadota; Gammaproteobacteria; Enterobacterales; Enterobacteriaceae. The record is from RNAcentral.
AAAUUGAAGAGUUUGAUCAUGGCUCAGAUUGAACGCUGGCGGCAGGCCUAACACAUGCAAGUCGAACGGUAACAGGAAGCAGCUUGCUGCCUUGCUGACGAGUGGCGGACGGGUGAGUAAUGUCUGGG